This 340-nucleotide unclassified non-coding RNA is filed under the name Hevea brasiliensis (rubber tree). Lineage: Eukaryota; Viridiplantae; Streptophyta; Magnoliopsida; Malpighiales; Euphorbiaceae. The record is from RNAcentral.
GCUGACAUGUUGAAUGAGGCUGCUAUGCUAGAAGAAAAAAGGCAACGCGGAGGCAAAGGAUCUUGAGAGGGGACUUCUGUAAAUAUUCUUUUGUAUUUGCAUGUGGUCGAUUGUUGUGAUAUUAUUGUAACAAAAAUGUGGGGUUAGUGUCAUGAGCAUUGGAAAUCUGGUUUCCAUCCAAUAUGUCAUAUAGUGGGAGAGGAAGAGGGAGAGGGGCGGUUCUUUAUUAGCUGUUUUCUUUUUUUAUUUUUAAACCCCCUCUUAAAUUGGAUGAAAAAAUUGAUCUCACAUGGCUUGUACAGAAAACAUUACUUCCAAUUUGAGGAAGGCAAGGAUCGUG